Molecule: long non-coding RNA, 1195 nt
Organism: Cuculus canorus (common cuckoo)
Lineage: Eukaryota; Metazoa; Chordata; Aves; Cuculiformes; Cuculidae
Exons: 3
Source: RefSeq, a predicted model, not a curated record
CUGUACUUUGUUCCCCGGUUCCCCGUUUCCUGCUCCCGGUUGCCCGUUUUCCUUCUCCCAGCUCCCUGCUCUCCUUUUCCUGCUCCCCGCUCCCGGUUCCCCGUUUCCUCCUCCCAGUUCCUUGCUCCCGGUUCCCCAUGCCAGGUUUCCCGUUUCCCGUUCCCCGCUUUCCUGCUCCCGGUUCCCCGUUCCCGGUUCCCUGUUUUCCUUCUCCCGGUUCCCCAGCAAGGCCGGGCCAUGCAUCCCGGUCCCCGCUCUCCCUCCUCCACCGGGCCCGGUCGGAGGAUGCUUCCCAUGGUGCUAUCGGCGAACGACUGAUAACGAAUCCCAAGGCCAACACCGGGAGCUGCCGGUAACGAACCCCCCUCCCUCCGCUCAGCCCCGGUACCGGGCGGCAGCCUGGGCUCCGGUACAACCGGGUGGGAAUCCCCCGGCCCCCUCCUCCGCCUGGUUUCCCCCUUAUCGCUCCCGCUAUCGUUCACAAUCGCGACAGGAGCUGCGCUGGGGUGGGUCCCAACCGGCGAGGGGAGGGAAACACCGGGUUCCAACCGCCCCCCCCCUCCCCAAACCGGGACGUUCUUCCCACCCGGCCUCGACUUAAUUAACAUCGACAGCCGCGAUAAUAACAAUAAAUCAUUAUCGCGCCAUUAUUAGCGCGGUUGGUUGUGGUUUGUCGCGGUUAUCGCUGUCCUUGAGGUCAUUAUUCCCGGUUUUCCUCCCGCCUGGGCCGUGGUAACGGGAUCCAGCAGGGGAUAACGGCCCGGGAAUACCGGUGCGGGGCCCUCGGAGGGAAGGAGAAGCCCGGGAUUCCUUCUUUUCCCCGUUUUACAUCCCGGGAAAGCGGCCCGCGCCCCGAAUCCCGGCGGCUGGGAGCGAAGCAGUCAGGGGCGCUGCAGCCGGUACAGAACGAGGACAGCGGACACGGGUGGGUGUGCAAGGACACCGUCACGGUGAAGGGACACGAGUGGGUCUGCGUGGACGCCUCGAAAUGAUGUACAGACACAGCUUCAGCUGCAUCCUGCUGCAUCCCUGCAGUGAAGGCUGAAAGCACACAGAUGUCCCAGGAAGGGACACGGAGCCACAAGCUGUGCCGAACCACCUGGACACCAGGAUGGCAACCAAAAAAGGGAGAUGAGAAGGAUGAACAAGCUCCAGGGCUCGGCUUCUCCAAAGCGCCGGUUAUUCUGCACCAGAA